AGUGAACGCUGGCGGUAGGCCUAACACAUGCAAGUCGAACGGCAGCACAGUAAGAGCUUGCUCUUACGGGUGGCGAGUGGCGGACGGGUGAGGAAUACAUCGGAAUCUACUUUUUCGUGGGGGAUAACGUAGGGAAACUUACGCUAAUACCGCAUACGACCUACCGGUGAAAGCAGUGGAUCUUCUGACCUUGCGCGAUUGAAUGAGCCGAUGUCGGAUUAGCUAGUUGGCGGGGUAAAGGCCCACCAAGGCGACGAUCCGUAGCUGGUCUGAGAGGAUGGUCGGCCACACUGGAACUGAGACACGGUCCAGACUCCUACGGGAGGCAGCAGUGGGGAAUAUUGGACAAUGGGCGCAAGCCUGAUCCAGCCAUACCGCGUGGGUGAAGAAGGCCUUCGGGUUGUAAAGCCCUUUUGUUGGGAAAGAAAAGCAGCAGGUUAAUACCCCGCUGUUCUGACGGUACCCAAAGAAUAAGCACCGGCUAACUUCGUG
This 492-nucleotide ribosomal RNA is filed under the name uncultured bacterium. Its description in RNAcentral is "partial 16S ribosomal RNA". It matches the Rfam family "Bacterial small subunit ribosomal RNA", at positions 29 to 507 of the family's 1533-position model. The record is from RNAcentral.